This 253-nucleotide ribosomal RNA is filed under the name uncultured bacterium. RNAcentral describes it as "partial 16S ribosomal RNA". It matches the Rfam family "Bacterial small subunit ribosomal RNA", at positions 524 to 776 of the family's 1533-position model. The record is from RNAcentral.
UACGGGGGGGGCAAGCGUUGUUCGGAAUUACUGGGCGUAAAGGGCUCGUAGGCGGCCAACUAAGUCGGACGUGAAAUCCCUCGGCUUAACCGGGGAACUGCGUCCGAUACUGGAUGGCUUGAGUUUGGGAGAGGGAUGCGGAAUUCCAGGUGUAGCGGUGAAAUGCGUAGAUAUCUGGAGGAAUACCGAUGGCGAAGGCAGCCAUCUGGCCUAACACUGACGCUGAGGUGCGAAAGCAUGGGGAGCAAACAGG